Molecule: ribosomal RNA, 432 nt
Filed under: uncultured bacterium
Lineage: Bacteria
Description: partial 16S ribosomal RNA
Rfam family: Bacterial small subunit ribosomal RNA
Source: RNAcentral
AACGAACGCUGGCGGCAGGCCUAACACAUGCAAGUCGAGCGGACCCUUCGGGGUUAGCGGCGGACGGGUGAGUAACGCGUGGGAAUAUGCCCUUCUCUACGGAAUAGUCCUGGGAAACUGGGGGUAAUACCGUAUACGCCCUUUGGGGGAAAGAUUUAUCGGGGAAGGAUUAGCCCGCGUUGGAUUAGGUAGUUGGUGGGGUAAUGGCCUACCAAGCCGACGAUCCAUAGCUGGUUUGAGAGGAUGAUCAGCCACACUGGGACUGAGACACGGCCCAGACUCCUACGGGAGGCAGCAGUGGGGAAUCUUAGACAGUGGGGCAACCCUGAUCUAGCCAUGCCGCGUGAGUGAUGAAGGCCUUAGGGUUGUAAAGCUCUUUCAGCUGGGAAGAUAAUGACGGUACCAGCAGAAGAAGCCCCGGCUAACUCCGUG